UCUAAGACAAUGCAGCAAUGGAUGUUUAGUACACUCUUCCGUGAGAUGUUCGUGUGGGAACUCUUUUGACAAUUUGUCUUCGCCACAGAGAUGGCAAAUCAUGACUGUAGACUCAAUCCAGUUAAAUAGAGUUAAUUAAAAUUAUAAACGUAGAAGAAAAGACAGAAUUCCGCAGGACACCCAAUUCUUGAUGUUUCGUUUUGUGCUUCCCAGAAUUUCUUUUGAUA
Non-coding RNA from Paramuricea clavata, 227 nucleotides. The record is from the annotation of a GenBank genome assembly. NCBI's taxonomy places the organism in Eukaryota, Metazoa, Cnidaria, Anthozoa, Malacalcyonacea, Plexauridae.